This 73-nucleotide transfer RNA is filed under the name Paraburkholderia rhizosphaerae. RNAcentral's name for it is "tRNA-Ala". It matches the Rfam family "tRNA". From Rfam's summary of the family: Transfer RNA (tRNA) molecules are approximately 80 nucleotides in length. RNAcentral also lists the same sequence under 1 other name. The record is from RNAcentral. Lineage: Bacteria; Pseudomonadati; Pseudomonadota; Betaproteobacteria; Burkholderiales; Burkholderiaceae.
GGGGGAUUAGCUCAGCUGGGAGAGCGCCUGCUUUGCAAGCAGGGGGUCGUCGGUUCGAUCCCGUCAUCCUCCA